RNAcentral lists this ribosomal RNA (484 nucleotides) under uncultured bacterium. RNAcentral describes it as "partial 16S ribosomal RNA". It matches the Rfam family "Bacterial small subunit ribosomal RNA", at positions 29 to 507 of the family's 1533-position model. The record is from RNAcentral.
AUUGAACGCUGGCGGCAUGCUUUACACAUGCAAGUCGAACGGCAGCGCGGGCUUCGGCCUGGCGGCGAGUGGCGAACGGGUGAGUAAUACAUCGGAACGUGCCCAGCAGUGGGGGAUAGCUCGGCGAAAGCCGGAUUAAUACCGCAUACGACCUGAUGGUGAAAGCGGGGGAUCUUCGGACCUCGCGCUAUUGGAGCGGCCGAUGGCAGAUUAGCUAGUUGGUGGGGUAAAGGCCUACCAAGGCGACGAUCUGUAGCUGGUCUGAGAGGACGACCAGCCACACUGGGACUGAGACACGGCCCAGACUCCUACGGGAGGCAGCAGUGGGGAAUUUUGGACAAUGGGCGAAAGCCUGAUCCAGCAAUGCCGCGUGUGUGAUGAAGGCCUUCGGGUUGUAAAGCACUUUUGGCGGGAACGAAAAGGACUGUGCCAAUACCACGGUUCGAUGACGGUACCCGCAGAAUAAGCACCGGCUAACUACGUG